UGAAGGGCUAUACCGAAAGGCCCGCAAAGUUUCGAACUGAUAAAAUCAAGAAGCCCUACGCCCCUAAACCUAAUCCCCGCAUAGCUUCCAUAUAAUCUUCCCUUUUGAGUUCAUCUUCUCCAGUCGUUGAUGGCAACCGAUCUUCAUUUUUCUAGCGACGAGCUUGCUUUUAAGUGAGUUUCGAAAAUAUCACCUGACUUUAUUAUUAAUGUUUUUUCUUCAAAUUUAUGAAAAUAUUUUGGAAAUUAUCAGUGGAUUUGUUUUUGUUUAAUUUAUUUAUUACGAUUUGAGGGGAAUAAAAAGCUGAUGAGGAGAAGAAAUGGGCAAGAGCUGCAACAACAAAUAAAGCGCACCGUGUAGAUCCAUCUACAUGGGUUGUUGUUUGCUUUGAUGAAUGUGCCAAUAUGCUAAUCUGAGGCUUUUCCUUAUUUAUUUUCAACUAUUAUUCUCCUUCGAAGUUGUUCUUCCCCUAAAUUUAUCAACUUCUUUUAAACUACUCUGAUUUACAUUUUUUUUGUUCGCCUUGCUAUUAUUUAUCAACUUGGCAAUGAUUUUAUUAGAACCUUUUGAAAAACUUCAAAUUUCAAAUCACAUUAAAAUUCAAAUGAUUCGAGUUAUUUGUGAUUUUUGUGUACUGUCGUUAGUCACUUCAGUUUUCAUUUACGGAUUUAAUGGAUAGUUUAUACUAAUUUUAGAGCGGAACAAAAACUUUUAGUGAUUAAAAUAAUAAAUCUAUUCAAAGUGAGUAUCUAUUUUUUAAUUUGAUUUUAGGAUACAUCUUAAAUUCUAAAUCUGAGAUAUUACACCCGUUCAAACAAAUGCCUUUCAAAUUGUUACAGAUGCAACUUUUUUAUUAGAUUUGUAAUUAGACUGUAAAUGCAAGGGUUGUUGUUUAUAAAAUAAAUAAAUUUGAAUAAAAUCCUUUGAAAUGUUUGAUCUGCACUUUUUCACCUUUUUAAACUGAGGAUGUUUACGAGCAGAGAUUUCAUUUCACCAAAAAGAAAAAAAAAAGUCCCCAUUAACCCUUCUAAGUUGGCAGAAUGGUGAGGGAUGAUGAUCAUGUAAGGAGAUUUUAUCCUUUUACAAGGGGUUUACCAUUUCAGCAGAUUAAUAAAAAUUUGAGAGAAAAAUUAGGAAAUAAGUAACUUAAACACAGACAAAAACAAACAUACCAGGUCAAAGCCCCCAUAACAUACGAAGUCCUAAGAAAAUUGGAAGCCAGCUACAAUGGGAAGAACCCCAUUCGGAAGAUUAAACUCGCGGUAGUUAGACGAGCCAUCAACACUAACACUCACCUCUAAUAUUGCCAGAAAACCAAGGAAGAUGCCAAAACAAUCACUUUAUUAAAAAAGAAAAACAGGUUUGUAGCCAUGGAUAAACAUGGGUCGUAAAGGGAAUGACGAGGCGCAAAAUCCGACCUAGUUGCCGACUGCAAAUGUGGCGGUCACAUCAGAGGAUCUCAAUCGUCCCACUCUAUUCCACUCCCCUCACUCAAACAGUCCCAUUUUUCCCAAUCUCCCCAUAUUUGGUUUUCCUCUGUUUUGCUUCUGUGAUCUUCAAACUUAGGACUAGUCGGCAUGCAGGAGCUUGGAUUAGCUUUCCACAUAAGAUGGUUUGAAUUAUUUUAAAUAAGAUUUAUGGACUUCUGAUUUCUGGACUAAGUUUUCGGAUUUGGUUUUGUUUUUGGAUUUUUGAUAUGUUCGUCUGUUUUUGGGUGUUCUUAAACGUAAAACUGCUAAACCAUACAAAUUUGACAAAUUGGAAAUCGAUUUUCAAAACUUAAAAA
This is a long non-coding RNA of Gossypium raimondii (Peruvian cotton), 1786 nucleotides long. RefSeq lists it as uncharacterized. Lineage: Eukaryota; Viridiplantae; Streptophyta; Magnoliopsida; Malvales; Malvaceae. The transcript has 2 exons. The record is from RefSeq and is a predicted model, not a curated record.